RNAcentral lists this ribosomal RNA (407 nucleotides) under Dinarica serbica. Its description in RNAcentral is "partial 16S ribosomal RNA". It matches the Rfam family "Archaeal large subunit ribosomal RNA", at positions 1908 to 2670 of the family's 2987-position model. Lineage: Eukaryota; Metazoa; Mollusca; Gastropoda; Stylommatophora; Helicidae. The record is from RNAcentral.
AACUAUAUGUAAUAAUAUAUGGCUAUUUCUGCUCAAUGAUUUACUUAAAUAGCCGCAGUACCCUGACUGUGCAAAGGUAGCAUAAUAAUUUGACUUAUAAUUGAAGUCUAGAAUGAACGAAUAUUCGGGUGGUAGCUGUCUUUAAAAUAAAAAUUGAAUUUGGUAAUCAAGUGCAAAUACUUGUAUUAUUACAAAAGACGAGAAGACCCUGGAAAUUUUGCUAUUUUGGUUGGGGCGACGGAAUUGCAAUUAACCAAUUUUAAAUUACGGGAAGUAAUGCUGUUAGAUUAAAUUACUCCAGGGAUAACAGCAUAAUUAAUAUUAGUUUGUGACCUCGAUGUUGGACUAGGUACUAUAGUUUUUAGAAGGACCUAUAGUUUGCUCUGUUCGAGCAGUAUCACCUACAU